Mustela putorius furo (domestic ferret) is the source of this 98-nucleotide ribosomal RNA. NCBI's taxonomy places the organism in Eukaryota, Metazoa, Chordata, Mammalia, Carnivora, Mustelidae. The record is from Ensembl.
GUCUAUGACCAUACCACCCUGUCCAUAUCCAGUCUCAUCUGAUCUCUGAAACUAAGCGGGGUUGGGCCUCAUGAGUACUUGGAUGGGAGUCCUGGUUC